CCACCACCAAAGCAUUUGCUGUACCGCGUUGACGGAGCGAAGCGACGUCAAACCGAUAAAACAGCAGUGUAAAGUGAGCCGCAGGGCGCUUUGCGCGACAGCGCAAAGGCAGGCGGUUUCGCGUAGCGAAAGCGAAUGCUUUGGGGUGGGGUGACUGCGUACCUUUUGUAUAAUGGGUCAGCGACUUAUAUUCUGUAGCAAGGUUAACCGAAUAGGGGAGCCGGAGGGAAACCGAGUCUUAAUUGGGCGUUAAGUUGCAGGGUAUAGACCCGAAACCCGGUGAUCUAGCCAUGGGCAGGUUGAAGGUUGGGUAACACUAACUGGAGGACCGAACCGACUAAUGUUGAAAAAUUAGCGGAUGACCUGUGGCUGGGGGUGAAAGGCCAAUCAAACCGGGAGAUAGCUGGUUCUCCCCGAAAGCUAUUUAGGUAGCGCCUCGUGAAUUCAUCUCCGGGGGUAGAGCACUGUUUCGGCUAGGGGGCCAUCCCGGCUUACCAACCCGAUGCAAACUGCGAAUACCGGAGAAUGUUAUCACGGGAGACACACGGCGGGUGCUAACGUCCGUCGUGAAGAGGGAAACAACCCAGACCGCCAGCUAAGGUCCCAAAGUCAUGGUUAAGUGGGAAACGAUGUGGGAAGGCCCAGACAGCCAGGAUGUUGGCUUAGAAGCAGCCAUCAUUUAAAGAAAGCGUAAUAGCUCACUGGUCGAGUCGGCCUGCGCGGAAGAUGUAACGGGGCUAAACCAUGCACCGAAGCUGCGGCAGCGACACUGUGUGUUGUUGGGUAGGGGAGCGUUCUGUAAGCCUGUGAAGGUGUGUCGUGAGGC
This 826-nucleotide ribosomal RNA is filed under the name Salmonella enterica. RNAcentral describes it as "partial 23S ribosomal RNA". The stretch from base 131 to 826 matches the Rfam family "Bacterial large subunit ribosomal RNA", at positions 572 to 1269 of the family's 2925-position model. RNAcentral also lists the same sequence under 2 other names. Lineage: Bacteria; Pseudomonadati; Pseudomonadota; Gammaproteobacteria; Enterobacterales; Enterobacteriaceae. The record is from RNAcentral.